RNAcentral lists this ribosomal RNA (475 nucleotides) under uncultured bacterium. RNAcentral describes it as "SSU rRNA". It matches the Rfam family "Bacterial small subunit ribosomal RNA", at positions 26 to 517 of the family's 1533-position model. The record is from RNAcentral.
AGGAACAACGCUGGCGGCGUGCCUAACGCAUGCAAGUCGAGCGGGGGGUCCUUUCGGGGGUCUUCAGCGGCGGACGGGUGAGUAGCGCGUGACCGACCUGCCCGCGAGUGGGGGCCAACCCCCGGGAAACCGGGGCUGUUACCGCAUGAGUCCGGUCGCCGGUGGGGUGAUUGGGGAAAGCCCUUUCGGGGGCGCUGGCGGAGGGGGUUGCGUCCGAUUAGCUAGUCGGCGGGGUAACGGCCCACCGAGGCGACGAUCGGUCGCUGGUCUGAGAGGACGACCAGCCACAGGGGGACUGAGACACGGCCCCCACACCUACGGGUGGCAGCAGCGAGGGAUUUUCGGCAAUGGGCGCAAGCCUGACCGAGCAACGCCGCGUGCGGGACGACGCCCUUCGGGGUGUAAACCGCUUUUGGUCGGGGCGAAGAUGACGGUACCGAUCGAAUCAGUCUCGGCUACUACGUGCCAGCAGCCG